RNAcentral lists this ribosomal RNA (526 nucleotides) under uncultured microorganism. RNAcentral's name for it is "bacterial SSU rRNA". It matches the Rfam family "Bacterial small subunit ribosomal RNA", at positions 9 to 531 of the family's 1533-position model. The record is from RNAcentral.
GAGUUUGAUCGUGGCUCAGGAUGAACGCUGGCGGCGUGCCUAACACAUGCAAGUCGAACGGAUCCAUAUUGAAACCUAGUGAUGUAUGGAUUAGUGGCGGACGGGUGAGUAACGCGUGGAUAACCUGCCGUAUACAGGGGAUAACACUUAGAAAUAGGUGCUAAUACCGCAUAAGCGCACGGUUCCGCAUGGAACAGUGUGAAAAACUCCGGUGGUAUACGAUGGAUCCGCGUCUGGUUAGCCAGUUGGCGGGGUAACGGGCCCACCAAAGCGACGAUCAGUAGCCGGCCUGAGAGGGUGAACGGCCACAUUGGGACUGAGACACGGCCCAAACUCCUACGGGAGGCAGCAGUGGGGAAUAUUGCACAAUGGGGGAAACCCGUGAUGCAGCGACGCCGCGUGAGUGAAGAAGUAUUUCGGUACGUAAAGCUCUAUCAGCAGGGAAGAAAAACCGGCCUUAGGGCCGCCAGACGGUACCUGACUAAGAAGCCCCGGCUAACUACGUGCCAGCAGCCGCCGCCGUAAG